RNAcentral lists this ribosomal RNA (351 nucleotides) under uncultured bacterium. RNAcentral describes it as "partial 16S ribosomal RNA". It matches the Rfam family "Bacterial small subunit ribosomal RNA", at positions 338 to 681 of the family's 1533-position model. The record is from RNAcentral.
CCUACGGGGGGCAGCAGUAGGGAAUCUUCCACAAUGGGCGAAAGCCUGAUGGAGCAACGCCGCGUGGGUGAAGAAGGUCUUCGGAGCGGAAAACCCUGUUGGUAGAGAAGAAAGUGCGUGAGAGUAACUGUUCACGUGUCGACGGUAUCGAACAAGAAAGCCACGGCUAACUACGUGCCAGCAGCCGCGGUAAUACGUAGGUGGCAAGCGUUAUCCGGAUUUAUUGGGCUUAAAGGGAACGCAGGCGGUCUUUUAAGGCUGAUGUGAAAGCCUUCGGCUUAACCGGAGUAGUGCCUUGGAUACUGGGAGCCUUGCUUGCAGCUGCGGCGAGUGGACCUCCAUUUGUAGCUG